Molecule: non-coding RNA, 31 nt
Filed under: Mus musculus (house mouse)
Lineage: Eukaryota; Metazoa; Chordata; Mammalia; Rodentia; Muridae
Source: RNAcentral
UGUCAUGUAUGUCCUGUUCUCUACUGCUUGC